This 374-nucleotide ribosomal RNA is filed under the name uncultured organism. RNAcentral describes it as "partial 16S ribosomal RNA". It matches the Rfam family "Bacterial small subunit ribosomal RNA", at positions 527 to 896 of the family's 1533-position model. The record is from RNAcentral.
GUAGGUGGCAAGCGUUGUCCGGAAUUAUUGGGCGUAAAGCGCGCGCAGGCGGUCCUUUAAGUCUGAUGUGAAAGCCCACGGCUCAACCGUGGAGGGUCAUUGGAAACUGGGGGACUUGAGUACAGAAGAGGAAAGCGGAAUUCCAAGUGUAGCGGUGAAAUGCGUAGAGAUUUGGAGGAACACCAGUGGCGAAGGCGGCUUUCUGGUCUGUAACUGACGCUGAGGCGCGAAAGCGUGGGGAGCAAACAGGGAUUAGAUACCCUGGUAGUCCACGCCGUAAACGAUGAGUGCUAAGUGUUAGGGGGGUUUCCGCCCCCGUUAGUGCUGCAGCUAACGCAUUAAGCACUCCGCCUGGGGAUACGGCCGCAAGGCUG